GACGAACGCUGGCGGCGUGCUUAACACAUGCAAGUCGAGCGGUAAGGCCCCUUUUGGGGGGUACGACGAGCGGCGAACGGGUGAGUAACACGUGGGUGACCUGCCUUCAGCUCUGGGAGUAAGCCUGGGAAACGUAGGGUCGUAAUACCGGAUAUGACCUUUGCCUGCAUGGGUGGGGGUGGGAAAGGAUUUAGUUUUGGUCUGGGGAUGGGCCUGCGGUCUAUCAGCUUGUUGGUGGGGUGAUGGCCUACCAAGGCGACGACGGGUAGCCGGCCUGAGAGGGCGACCGGCCACACUGGGACUGAGACACGGCCCAGACUCCUACGGGAGGCAGCAGUGGGGAAUAUUGCGCAAUGGGCGGAAGCCUGACGCAGCGACGCCGCGUGGGGAU
RNAcentral lists this ribosomal RNA (391 nucleotides) under uncultured bacterium. Its description in RNAcentral is "bacterial SSU rRNA". It matches the Rfam family "Bacterial small subunit ribosomal RNA", at positions 28 to 408 of the family's 1533-position model. The record is from RNAcentral.